UCAUUCCAGGGGGGCAGCAGUGAGGAAUAUUGGUCAAUGGGAGGAAUCCUGAACCAGCCAUGCCGCGUGCAGGACGACGGCUCUACGAGUUGUAAACUGCUUUUGUACCGGGGUAAAAUGCCUUACGAGUAGGGUUUUGAAAGUACGGUACGAAUAAGGAUCGGCUAACUCCGUGCCAGCAGCCGCGGUAAUACGGAGGAUCCGAGCGUUAUCCGGAUUCAUUGGGUUUAAAGGGUGCGUAGGUUGUUUCAUAAGUUAGCGGUGAAAUACCGAUGCUCAACAUCGGGGCUGCCGCUGAUACUGUG
This 305-nucleotide ribosomal RNA is filed under the name uncultured bacterium. RNAcentral's name for it is "bacterial SSU rRNA". It matches the Rfam family "Bacterial small subunit ribosomal RNA", at positions 333 to 637 of the family's 1533-position model. The record is from RNAcentral.